RNAcentral lists this ribosomal RNA (591 nucleotides) under uncultured Alphaproteobacteria bacterium. Its description in RNAcentral is "bacterial SSU rRNA". It matches the Rfam family "Bacterial small subunit ribosomal RNA", at positions 1 to 585 of the family's 1533-position model. Lineage: Bacteria; Pseudomonadati; Pseudomonadota; Alphaproteobacteria. The record is from RNAcentral.
CCAACGCGUUGGGAGCUCUCCCAUAUGGUCGACCUGCAGGCGGCCGCGAAUUCACUAGUGAUUAGAGUUUGAUCCUGGCUCAGAACGAACGCUGGCGGCAUGCCUAAUACAUGCAAGUCGAACGAGACCUUCGGGUCUAGUGGCGCACGGGUGCGUAACGCGUGGGAAUCUGCCCUUGGGUUCGGAAUAACUUCGGGAAACUGAAGCUAAUACCGGAUGAUGACGAAAGUCCAAAGAUUUAUCGCCCAGGGAUGAGCCCGCGUAGGAUUAGCUAGUUGGUGGGGUAAAGGCUCACCAAGGCAACGAUCCUUAGCUGGUCUGAGAGGAUGAUCAGCCACACUGGGACUGAGACACGGCCCAGACUCCUACGGGAGGCAGCAGUAGGGAAUAUUGGACAAUGGGCGAAAGCCUGAUCCAGCAAUGCCGCGUGAGUGAUGAAGGCCUUAGGGUUGUAAAGCUCUUUUACCCGAGAUGAUAAUGACAGUAUCGGGAGAAUAAGCUCCGGCUAACUCCGUGCCAGCAGCCGCGGUAAUACGAAUCGAAUUCCCGCGGCCGCCAUGGCGGCCGGGAGCAUGCGACGUCGGGCCCAAU